ACCUUGGUGGCUCAGAUGGUAAAGCAUCUGCCUGCAAUGCGGGAGACCCAGGUUCGAUCCCUGGAUUGGGAA
This 72-nucleotide transfer RNA is filed under the name Ovis aries (sheep). It matches the Rfam family "tRNA". From Rfam's summary of the family: Transfer RNA (tRNA) molecules are approximately 80 nucleotides in length. Lineage: Eukaryota; Metazoa; Chordata; Mammalia; Artiodactyla; Bovidae. The record is from Rfam by way of RNAcentral.